Molecule: ribosomal RNA, 429 nt
Filed under: Gemmatimonadota bacterium
Lineage: Bacteria; Pseudomonadati; Gemmatimonadota
Description: Gemmatimonadetes bacterium partial 16S ribosomal RNA
Rfam family: Bacterial small subunit ribosomal RNA
Source: RNAcentral
UAGGGAAUCUUCGGCAAUGGACGAAAGUCUGACCGAGCAACGCCGCGUGAGUGAAGAAGGUUUUCGGAUCGUAAAACUCUGUUGUUAGAGAAGAACAAGGACGUUAGUAACUGAACGUCCCCUGACGGUAUCUAACCAGAAAGCCACGGCUAACUACGUGCCAGCAGCCGCGGUAAUACGUAGGUGGCAAGCGUUGUCCGGAUUUAUUGGGCGUAAAGCGAGCGCAGGCGGUUACUUAAGUCUGAUGUGAAAGCCCCCGGCUCAACCGGAGAGGGUCAUUGGAAACUGGGAGAGUUGAGUGCAGAAGAGGGGAGUGGAAGUCGAUGUGUAGCGGUGAAAUGCGUAGUUAUAUGGAGGAACACCAGUGGAGAAGGCGGCUUUCUGGUCUGUAACUGACGCUGAGGCUCGAAAGCGUGGGGAGCAAACAGG